This 346-nucleotide long non-coding RNA is filed under the name Ananas comosus (pineapple). RNAcentral describes it as "long non-coding RNA (ACOM_LNC004107)". The record is from RNAcentral. Lineage: Eukaryota; Viridiplantae; Streptophyta; Magnoliopsida; Poales; Bromeliaceae.
UUUUUUUUCUUUUUCUUUGAUUUUUAGUCUUUUCUGUAAGAAAAAAAUAUUUUUUUAUUUUUACUUUUUAUUAUUCUUAUUUUUUUUCUCUCCAUUUUUUUUUUGUCACGACCUCUUCCUUACGCUCUAUUGCAGCCACCGUCCUUACUGGAGUGUAACUAUUUUUCUCUCCCUUCUUCGCCUGCGUGCUUCUCGGCCCCGAGAAGCACUUUCUUUUCGUCGCCAGCGGCAGCGAUGGACGGAGGAUUUAUUUGACGGGUAGAAAAUGUGUUACAGUGGAGGUGGAGGGUGAAGGCGGAGGAAAAAGACGUGGUACCAUCCUCGCUAUCGUCGCGAAGGGUCGCGA